GGAGUUGUACCCAAGUUUGGCUGAAGGGACCGCACUCGAAAUGCGGCAGGCCGGGCAACCGGCGCGAGAGUUCGAAUCUCUCCAACUCCG
Molecule: transfer RNA, 90 nt
Filed under: Lachnospiraceae bacterium
Lineage: Bacteria; Bacillati; Bacillota; Clostridia; Lachnospirales; Lachnospiraceae
Description: tRNA-Ser
Rfam family: tRNA
About the family: Transfer RNA (tRNA) molecules are approximately 80 nucleotides in length. Their secondary structure includes four short double-helical elements and three loops (D, anti-codon, and T loops).
Source: RNAcentral